UCAGAGGCUUUUCUAAAAACCACCCAUAAAUAUUAAUAAUAAUCU
Eurypyga helias (sunbittern) is the source of this 45-nucleotide non-coding RNA. NCBI's taxonomy places the organism in Eukaryota, Metazoa, Chordata, Aves, Eurypygiformes, Eurypygidae. The record is from Rfam.